GAUGAACGCUGGCGGCGUGCCUAAUACAUGCAAGUCGAGCGAACAGACGAGGAGCUUGCUCCUCUGACGUUAGCGGCGGACGGGUGAGUAACACGUGGAUAACCUACCUAUAAGACUGGGAUAACUUCGGGAAACCGGAGCUAAUACCGGAUAAUAUAUUGAACCGCAUGGUUCAAUAGUGAAAGACGGUUUUGCUGUCACUUAUAGAUGGAUCCGCGCCGCAUUAGCUAGUUGGUAAGGUAACGGCUUACCAAGGCGACGAUGCGUAGCCGACCUGAGAGGGUGAUCGGCCACACUGGAACUGAGACACGGUCCAGACUCCUACCGGAGGCAGCAGUAGGGAAUCUUCCGCAAUGGGCGAAAGCCUGACGGAGCAACGCCGCGUGAGUGAUGAAGGUCUUCGGAUCGUAAAACUCUGUUAUUAGGGAAGAACAAAUGUGUAAGUAACUAUGCACGUCUUGACGGUACCUAAUCAGAAAGCCACGGCUAACUACGUG
This 497-nucleotide ribosomal RNA is filed under the name uncultured bacterium. RNAcentral's name for it is "partial 16S ribosomal RNA". It matches the Rfam family "Bacterial small subunit ribosomal RNA", at positions 28 to 507 of the family's 1533-position model. The record is from RNAcentral.